RNAcentral lists this long non-coding RNA (2776 nucleotides) under Mus spretus (western wild mouse). RNAcentral describes it as "lncRNA (ENSMSPG00010034881.1)". Lineage: Eukaryota; Metazoa; Chordata; Mammalia; Rodentia; Muridae. The record is from RNAcentral.
CAGUCUAGGCAAAGGGACCAGCAUUUGUCAAUGCAUGGCGGAGAGAAGAGCGUCCUCAUCCUGCAACAAUGACAAUGAGCCCUGAGGCUCUGCCUGGCUUUCCUGUGGCACCUCCGCUCCGUCCUGUUUGCCUUGGACAUGGGCCCCGAGCUGGGAACAAGGAGGGACACGGAGGAAGGACAUAGCCCUGAACCCUGAUCUCUCAGCAAAGAUCUCCGCCAUACUGCUUCCCCAGUCAGGAGUCUGGUGACUGAAGACCUAUGAGACCCACCUGAACCUUCGUCUGCUCUUCAGUCCAGCCCAGGGUCAUCUUGGGCUAAAUUCUCAGGGGCAUUGUCAAGAAGGGGAGGCCAGACUUCCACCUGUCUACUCCAGGACUCGAGAGGCAGAGCCAGAUGGGGAGCCAGCUAGCAAUCAUUUAUCUCACUUAACUGCAUCCUGCCCAUUGUGCGGAUGGAAAAACUAAGGUGCAGAUUGUAAGACAAAAGAGGCAGAGGCAAAACAGAGCCAGAUCUCCAGACUCUGAACCUUCUGCUCCAUUCUUUCCUCAGCCUCUCAAUGCUUGCAGACGUCUGAUGUCUGCAGGGGACACGGCCUGCCAUAGGAACCCGGGGGUGGGGGUGGGGGUGGGGGACUGGCAAGAGUGUCACAUCUCAUGUUUAGUCUUUGGUGGCCAGGGACUGGCAGGUGCUGUAGGAACGGCUCUCUUGUCUCCGAUCCUGGAAAUGGGCCUCCUGGCAGCCAUGGAGAUUAAGGUCCCUCCCAGGCCCCGUCAUGCUUCACUGGAGGUUGACACUUCCCUGGCUCCCAGCUCCAAAAACAUCAACGAAAUGGGACCCAACAGAACAGGUCCUGUUUGGUCGUAAGGACCAGGUCCGUGCCUUGCAGGUUCCACUGUUGCUUGGAACUCAGGGAACGCACACCUGGAAAACUCGGGGCAUCUGAGCCCCCUUUGACAGAACUUAGACAACCUAGGCUUGUGAGGGCGGGCUGCUUGGGGGUGUGAGGAAGUGGGGCUUUGCUCUGGGUGAUGUGUCAUCACAGAGCAGAGGCGACUCUGACUGGGGAUCUUAGAGAUUGGUUUUUUUUUUAAUCUAAAAGGAAGAGCCACGAAGUGAAGCUGAAGGCACUGUCACCCGUCCAGCCAGGAUCGGUGAUGUUGGAUUCUCCUGUGCUUUAGAGUGCGUUCUUUUAUGAAUUUGCGUUCAGAUGUGACAGGGCAGAGUCCCGGUGCAUUUCGGGCCUACCGUGGCUUUGUUGGACACGCCAAUCUUCAGCAUUGCUUCUGUGUCUGGGGCCGGCAUCCCGGGAGGGACCUCAGAGGGACCCUCCUGCCGUUUUCUGUUCAGAAGCUGAGCCAGCAGCCUUGCACUGACUGCUAGCAAGGAGCAGGUCCCAGCCAGGUAGACAGGCUUGCCCUGUGACUGCAAAGGAAGGUGGACCCGAGUCCAUAUCCCAAGGUUCUCCCUUGGAGGAGGCUUGCACCCCGACAUGCCUUGCAUCUUUAUUCUUUCAUAAACGUCGAAGGGACACUCGUUUUAUGCCAAGACCCAAGUGCCUCAGGCCAGUGCCUUAAUUCUCAGUGCUCAGUUUGUCUCUCUGGGAAAUGGGUACAAUGUUAGUGCCUGAGAUAGACGAGGGCCUAUUGCAUUGCCCUGAAUUGCUGUGGUUAAACACUGGGUGUCAAGUGUGGAGCCAUGCUGGUCCGUACCAUCAUAGACCUUAUUACAGAGAGGCAAGGAGAGGGCGGCUCGGGAGAACAUGUCUUGUUCCUCCUUGUCAUGGCCUAGAGACCGGAGACCCCAGUGAUUCCCCACACAGCCUGGGCUGCAUAGACCAGGAUCUGAGGGUUCCAGAGUUCUGGUCCCUCCAGUCUAUACUACUCCUUAACUCCCCCAACAUAGCUGGGAGGGGGGCAUCUCUUGAAAUUGCCCUGGCUAGCCCCUGACAUCAUUCAGGCCCAGGAUCGACUACCCCAGAAGGGAGGUUGCUGUUUCUAACCCGAACCCCACCUCUGCAUGCCAUGGGGCGCUGCCGACCCGAUGUCUUGUGGUUCUCCAGGCUCUCUAAACACAGCCCAUGGGAGCCGCUGGGGCCCAGAGGCAGAGAGGGCACAGGCUGUGGGGGUGGAGGAGGGCAUGUGCUAUCCUGCCUUCUGCAUGCAUGGAGGAGGGGGUGGUUACAGGACAGCGUGAGACCGGCAUAGAAGGAAGUUUGUUUAUCUGUUGGGGAUGGCAGAGGCAGCGCCCAUGACAGGGGCCUGCUCGAUGUGGGCAGGGAGGGUACUCAUUGUGCCCCUGAAUGGGUAGGUGUGGACGUGUGCGGGGGUGGCCACUCUGGCAGGAGGGUGGGGGCCUGCACUUAGUGUGAGUGCCGAGCUUCAGCCUUGGUAGCUAGGCCUAGGUUCAGAGUUCGCAUUGGCCUGGGUUCGUUUCUAAUUGAGCUCUUUCCUGGCUGUGUGAUCUUGGCCCAGUGGUUUACCCCCUCUGAGCCUCAUUUAUCUGCUCCAUGACUGGGGCUAGGCACAUGAAACUCAUUAUUUGCUGCUCUUUCAGAGGACCCAAGUUUGGUUCCCAGAACCCACAUCAGGAGGCUCAAGACUGUCUGCGACUCCGGCUUCAGGGAUCCAACUGCCACUGGCCUGUGUACAAAUGUGGCAAUACACACACACACACACACACACACACACACACACACACAUGCACUCAUGCAAGCUUGCACACAUGUGUACUGACACACACACAAAUUUUUAAAAGUACUUAAUUAAAAAAAAAGU